UCUCUCUUGCUCAAAAAUAAACAUUAAAAAAAUAAAUAAAUAUGCUAUAUAUAAAGGUGUUUUUACUGAUACACCCUAUUGGUAGAUAUAUGCUCUGGGAUUUUUUCUUGUUCAGCUCAUCCUGAAUUGAAUGGUGUCAUCAAUAUUUUCUUAUUGUGAUUUACUUACAAUGUUUAGGUGGAGGGAUAACACUAGGGUGACGUCUUUGCUGUAGAAUGAAGAUUUUCUUUCUGUAGGGCUAAUUGGUCCACAGAUAGAACAGAUGAUUAGCCUCAUUCAUAUUCUAAGAAGCAGUUGGCUAAAUUAAACCCCUUGGAUCCCCCAUCAAACUUCAUGGACUACUGACCGGCUGGAUGCUAAUGUUUUGAGCACCUAUUCCAUUCCAGGCACUGUUCAUAACAGUGAACGAGACAGACAAAAAGCCCUGUCCAUUGGACUUCCAUUCUCAUGGGAGAAGACAGAUCAUAAAUAAGAUGAAUAAAUUAGGUAGAAUAUUAAAAGACAGUAAGGACUACAGGGAGAAAGUGAAACAGAGAGGGCAGAUGCAGGCUAGUAUAGGAGAGUUGUAAUUUUAAAUAGGGAGGCCAGAGGUGACCUUCCUAAGAAGAUGGGAUUUGAACACAGAUUUGAAGGAAGUGAGGAAGUGAGCCCUGGGGUACGUGGGGAAAAACAGUGCAGGUAAAGACAAGGACCAGUGGAAAGGCCUGGGAGUGGGACCAUGCCUGGCAUCUUCCUGGAAGAGCGGGGCCGACAAGAAGGGUGAGCCAAGGAAAGAGCACAAGAAACAAAGUUAGAGGGAUAAGGUUAGAAUGGAUCUCAGAGGGCCUCCUAGACCCUCAGAAAGAUUUUGCAUUUUACUUGCAGGACAUGGGUAGGAGGGGAUGUGGGCAGGGAAGAUCAGGAUCUCACUUAGGGUCUAAUGAGAGCAUCUGAAGGGGGAACUGAUGGAGGAGGGCAAAGCUGGAGGCCAAGGGAUCAUUUACAAGGCGAAUGUAACCGUCUGCAUGAAAAGAAUGUUCAACUAUCUUUAAUGUUUCUCUAGUUACCACAGUUAAGAGCUUUAGUUCACCUCCCUCAUGGAGAAAGCUACGGUCAAGCAUUGAGAAGUCAUACAAAGCUCUCCCUGUGACUCCCUUCUUUCCACUUGCCCCUGUCACAGCAAUGGCCACAGGGACAGCUUCGAUCAAACGCUGUGACAUUUUGGUAAAUAUGUAAUUAUACAUGCCGCAUCUUCAUAUGUUCUUUUCAGUGACCAAUUAAUAUCAACCAGAUGUGUGGCGAGCCAGAGUACGCUCUGGAGGUUGUCCUGAGAAAGUAAAGACAUAGUGAUUUAGCGAGUGCACCUGCAGCUCUUGCUGCUGUAUGCUGCUUUUGCUGCAGCUUUGACGUCAGCUGCUUAAAGGGAAGCCUCUGCUUCCAAAAUCCUCUCUUGUUGAUUAAGUAGAGGAACUCUGGGUCAACGAGAUCAUCUAAUCACCUCAUUGCAAAGCACAGAGCAUCAGGAAAUGGCAUCUUCCUAUAAGAGGUCACUAAACCCCACCUGGUGUUUAACAUGAUCUGCUUGCUUUUUUGAGAGCUUGAGGCAAUCACGUCUGGUUAUUUGUGACAGUAAAGACUCAGAAAAUGUAAGAACAGGUAAGAGUAUUUGGAAGGUUGUGAGUAAAAAUGUAACCUUGCUCUAUUCUCUCAAUAAGCCAAGAAACAGGAGUUUUCACUUUAAGCAAGAUCAUGUGCAUAAGACAUUUAAAACAAAGAUGAACACACAUGGCAUUAUUAAGUCAACAAAUAGUUAAAAAAAAAAGGAAUGGAAAUCUUGGGAUUUAAAUUAUUUAUGAAAAUAAUCCAAAACCAUAGCCAAACAAAGCACUACACGUGGCUGAGAUCAAAAGUGUGUUGUUUUCUUUUUAAUUUCCUUGUUUUGUUGCUUAAGUGCUGAGUGGAAAUUUACUUGAUAAUUGGUAGAAUAUGCAUAGUUAGAACAUUCUUCUUAAAGAUGAAAAGUUCAACUACUCUUGAGGAUAUUGGCAAUAAUUCCAUCCCACCUUGAGGCUUGAUAUUUUUCAGAUUUUAGUUAUGUCCACCCAAAUUAUUGCAACCAGAUUAUACUAUGAAAUGUUUACUUUUAUUAUUGUUAUUAUCAUUAUUAUUAUUAUUUUAUUCAUAAAGAUUUUGUUAACCCAUCAGUCAUAUUUCAUUAUCACUGGUCGUUCUCUUGAAUAAAGGCAUCCAAUCCCGAUUUUGUCGAAUCAUACAAUAUGUAUGGUGGAAUAAUUUAUGCACCUAGCAAGGCAGACAAUUCAGGUUGUUCUUCUCUUGGUCAGAGAAACCUGGGCUUCCUCCUUUCAUUAAUAGGCCAAGGAUAUUUUGACAAUGGAAUUUUGAUAGGUCCAAAAGAGACCUUGGUAGUUUAAGCCACAGGAGAAAACAUACCCACAUAUAGAAAAAUUGUAAGUGGAGAUUAUAGAAUAUGCAUUCUCUUAGGGUAGGAAAGUUAGAGUUCUCUUCAGUGCUGGUUAUUCCUCUUCUUGACGUAAUCAUGGAUCCUGAGCCUACUUGCCUCUGCUGAAUUUCUGUACUUCCCUCAGCAGAAAUCACUUAGAUCCUGUGUUCUUCCAUUUCCUCUUCGAAUAAAACAAAAUGAUAGCAUUUUCUUCCACAAAUAUGAAGGGUGAUAUAAAUGAUAAUGUCUUAUUUUUUAAUCUUUAGACAAGACAAAUGCCUUGAAGGUAAGAAAACACCUAUUUCUUUCUUUCAUUUUUAAGAAAAAAAAGGAUAAGUUAAUUUCAUUUGAAGAAAGCCAGAUGUCCUCAAGAUAGGUCCUGUCUGCCAACAGAGUUCUUAAAAAUCCUCUGAUGAGUCAAAAUUCCAAGGUUCUUUCCCAUGUUGGCGGUCAGAGUGAUAAGGCCUCUCCCGCUAAAAUGUUUCUAUAAUACUCUCAAUGGUCAGUUGAUUCCCUGUAUCCAGAUCUUAUCCCAAUAAGUCACUUUAGUUCCCACUGAUUCCUGAGCAAAGCCAUUAACUAAACAACGAAGAGAACAGAAUUUGUAUGAAUGCCAAUUGAUUCAAAUACUAAUUGGUAAUAUCUGUGUGCAGUAGUUUCCUUCAAUAUAUGUUAUAUUAUACUUAACUGCUCUCCUGUCCAGGAUAUCGGUAUUAUGCAUUUGUACAACAUUUGUUACACUUUGUUUAAUUAUCUUUUAUAGAUUACCGAUAGAGCAUUUAAAAGAAAUGAAUGAAAAGUGUGUGCAGAGUGCUGCUCUAUAACUGAAUGGGUCACUUGGAAUUCAUUUUGUCUACAUCCUGGACUGCACGUAGGGAGACAAAAAAAAACCGCCUGGGAUUGGAGAGGAGGAAUGUGGCAGGGCAUGGGAAUCGCAGUGUCCUGGUGGUCACCGAGCAUAUUUUGGCUUGUCUUAAAACAAGCAAGCACCGUUGGACCUUUGGAAUCCUAACAAGUGAAGAAAUAUUAUUUCCUUCCUGACUCGCUGAAAAUUCAAGUAGAGAAGACCGUGAAGAAUCUGGGCAAUAUUUCUCAUAUUUAGUUCUGUAAGAUUUUAUUUAGUUGUGCUCUGACCCUGGGUACUCUUGAGAGCUAAGAGAUAUAGAAAAUGUCUUUUGGAGUUUGAGAACCGGGGUUCAAAAUCCUAAUCCUGUCUCCUUUUAUCCAUAGGAUUUGGGCAAGUUACUUAAGGUCUAUCACCAUUUUCUUACCUGUAAAAUGGACUUAAUAAUAGUAUCUACCUGAAAGCAUUAUUGGAAGGAGUAAAUGAAUACUUCAUCUAUAGAACAAUGUCUGUCACAAGAUAAGAAAUUUCAUUCUUAUUAUAGCCCCAUCAGUUGAUAUGUAUUACAGCAUCUAGGACUCUGAUAUGUAAAUUUUACUUAGACACUUUUAUUCCUUUGUAUGUUUUUAAGAGUAAUGCCUGGAGACACUUUUCAUCUUAAUGUAACAUCACAGUGUUUCAUUCAAAGUUACUCCAUAAACAUUUGUGAAAUGGAUGGCUGGAUGGCUGGAUGGCUGGGUGGAUGGACGGACAGAUGGAAGUAGAAAUAUACAGCAUCAGGGUUGGUCCUAAGCAAUCAUUUUCAAAUCAGGACGUGUAUAUCUGGGGGUAUCUCCUUUCUGUCAUCUCCUUCAACUGUUUAGAUGUUGUUGCCUUUCUAAGUUUGGACAUGCUCCAAGCCUUGUUUUUCCUCCUCUUUCUUAUCACAUUUUUCUUCUCUUCAGUUCUUCUAAGUGACUAUCUAGUUUGAUCAGUAAGUAAAAGGGGCUUUAUGUGUCAUGUCUUCAAGAUAGCUUGUAUAUUUUAUCAGAUAAUUUUUUUUCUCAUUGCUUCAUUCCACAGAAGUGACUAAUAUGGGGAUUUCAAGAGAGCUAUUACAAAAAAAAAUUUUUUUUGUAGGAGGCUUUUGGACUUAAAAAAAAAAAAAAACAAAGCCUAUAAAACAUCUGCCUCCUUUACCUGGGGCUAAAGCUGACCCUGAGCAAUACUUUGUUCCAAUAAUAUGAACAGCUACAUAAACUCAUUUUGCAUGAAAAGGUAGGGGGUAAAUAUCGAAAGAAAGAGGCCAUCAGGAAGCCCCUGUGGCAUAUGCUGAGUUACAGUCCAGCAAUAAGAUUAACACAUGCACUUCAGCCUCUCUCCCCAUCCCCAAGGGAAGAGAAGCCUGAGUGUCAACAUGAAAUAUUCAAGUCUCAUAUUUUCCAGGUGUACAAGCCAAAUCUUGCAAUGAUGUUGGCGACUUCUUAGAGUUGCAAAAUAAUGGAGAAAUUUUCAAGUGAAUGAUUCUCUGGAUCUCUUAAGAAUAUUCUUUCUUUCUACAUGUUCUUUCAAACUUGGUAUUUCAACAGCGGUGGAAGGUCAAAGUGGAAUUCAGACAAGUGUCACAUAUUUUGCUGAGGCAACAGGUACGUAAUGAAGGCUUUUGAAAACUGCACAUACAAUGGAUGAAACAAGAAUUGAAUAAAAACUCUGAAGUUUAAUAUUCACUCUGUUGAGGCAUUUUCAGGCAGGUUGGGUAUAUGUCAUUAGCCGUUUUCCAAAUGCCUGGAUAAUGGCUCUUGGUUACUAAAAGAAUAUUAGAAGCACUGUUUGAAAGUGUCCUCAAACUACAGAGGAAGGUGAUAGGGGGUGGGGGAGAGGGUACUGCUGGCAUCGCCUUUUCCCUGUAAGCAAUCCCCACUCAUUGUGGGCACCCCAAAAGAAGUUUGUGAAAGCAUAGGGGAGAAGGGGAAGGGUGAACGGGAAGCACUGAAAGGGAAGGGAAAACUAUCAUAGGGGGUGCAAAAGGAAAAGUCACAGAGGCAAGAAGGAACCUCCAAGAUUGAAUUCUAUAGAUGCAAAGGAGAGAAAUAUUGAUUGGUGGCAGAUAGUACUUGAAGAAAGAUGGAACAGUGUGAGAAAUAAGGAACAGAGUGAGGAUAUAUUAUUUCCCUACUAUAUUGUGGGCAGAGUGGACCAUAGUCUGUUAUACCAUCAACCUUCUAAUAUGGGUAUUUCUGGUCCCCACUUCAUAACAAUUGAGUUAGGGCUAACUGAGGUAAAGCCACAUGUUUCAGGUCAGUGUUAAGUAAAUCAGUUCAGGGUUCCACGGCACACUGUCUGGUUCCAUCGAAUUUUUUUUUUCUGUACCUUCUGCACUUUUUUCUGGAACUUCUGCCUCACAGUGAGGCCUUUGAUUUGGCUCUAACCUGUUUCUUAGUUUCCCAGGUAAAGGUGCAGACUCCAGAGUAGCAUGGUAUGGCCAAGAGAAAGCUGUCAUGGGAGUGGUAGAUCCCUUACUUCUAGUACAAGCCUCGUUACUAAGUAGCUGUGUGAUCUUAACAGCUAGUCUGUUCCUUUCUUCCUCAUCUGUGAAACGAGGGAGUGGGGAUGCAGUGUUGUCUUAAGUAGCUUUUGGCUUCAAUAUUCUGUGGUUCAAUUGAGUUAAAUGAAAGUGAACGUAACCAGAUGAAGGCUGGGCUUCUAGAAGUAAUGCAUUCAUGUACUCCCUAGCAAGUACGGGUUAUUGGAGUCACUGGGAGAAAUGCUUUAAAUUUAUAUUCCAUUUAGAAUAUCUGUUAGUAGAUGUGAAAGAAAUUACAUGAGAAUGUCGAACAAAUAUGAAGUUCAGAAGACAGAUAUUUCAAAACUUUUUGGAAAGAAAUCGAAGAGAAGAAAGAAGGGAAGUCGGUAGGAGAAAGGUUGAAUCAAAAUUUCCCCCCGCCCCCCCUUUGGGGAAACAGCUGCAUUACUGAUGUUCCUUUCCUCAUACCAGAAUUGUGUACUUAUUUCAGAAUAUGGAAGCACUUGUAGCAUUUUCCCUCAUUCUUACUAGUUCCAAAGUGGAUUAUAUCCCUAGCUGGGUUAUUCCAUAUUCUUUAUUUUAAAACUUACUCUAAAUGUCUUAAAUAUUAACAAUUAAUCUAAUCUCUGUAUUUAAUUCAUAGACUUUUAAACUAAAAUAAUACAAGUUAUAAUCACUCUGCCUAAAUUAGACUUUAAAUCUCUAAUGCACUUUUAGAUUUCUAAAUUAUUUUUUAUAUACUAAACUAUUACAUUCUUUCUGCAAUGAGGUAGGUAGGAA
Felis catus (domestic cat) is the source of this 6567-nucleotide long non-coding RNA. RefSeq lists it as uncharacterized. NCBI's taxonomy places the organism in Eukaryota, Metazoa, Chordata, Mammalia, Carnivora, Felidae. The transcript has 3 exons. The record is from RefSeq and is a predicted model, not a curated record.